RNAcentral lists this long non-coding RNA (370 nucleotides) under Cyanistes caeruleus (blue tit). Its description in RNAcentral is "lncRNA (ENSCCEG00000010703.1)". Lineage: Eukaryota; Metazoa; Chordata; Aves; Passeriformes; Paridae. The record is from RNAcentral.
GACAGAUUUCUGCCUCGUACCUAUCUAGUUGUUUCCAUAUUAAGCAUAUCUAAUUUUAAUUUCCAGGCACUGGACAUAUUACUUCGAUGAAUUAUACACUAGAAUCUCCUCCUUCCAAAUGAUUUGUCCACAAGAGCUGCCUACAAAAGCAUCAAGGUCUCAGCACAUCAGCCUGAAAAGCUAUUGACAGGAGGAAUGUGAGCUGUUGCUAAGUUACAGUUGCAUGAUAAGGGCCAUGAUGGUAAGGGCUCUGCUGAAUCUAACAGGGAGGUGGUUUCUUAAGAUGAGUUCUUGUGCUGCCUCAAGAAUGACUUCUGCUGACUGAUGAUCAGUGUGACAAAGGGAUUGAAGCUGCUAAAUCUAUAUGUAU